CAGUCGAGCGGACAGAUGGGAGCUUGCUCCCUGAUGUUAGCGGCGGACGGGUGAGUAACACGUGGGUAACCUGCCUGUAAGACUGGGAUAACUCCGGGAAACCGGGGCUAAUACCGGAUGGUUGUUUGAACCGCAUGGUUCAAACAUAAAAGGUGGCUUCGGCUACCACUUACAGAUGGACCCGCGGCGCAUUAGCUAGUUGGUGAGGUAACGGCUCACCAAGGCGACGAUGCGUAGCCGACCUGAGAGGGUGAUCGGCCACACUGGGACUGAGACACGGCCCACACUCCUACGGGAGGCAGCAGUAGGGAAUCUUCCGCAAUGGACGAAAGUCUGACGGAGCAACGCCGCGUGAGUGAUGAAGGUUUUCGGAUCGUAAAGCUCUGUUGUUAGGGAAGAACAAGUACCGUUCGAAUAGGGCGGUACCUUGACGGUACCUAACCAGAAAGCCACGGCUAACUACGUGCCAGCAGCCGCGGUAAUACGUAGGUGGCAAGCGUUGUCCGGAAUUAUUGGGCGUAAAGGGCUCGCAGGCGGUUUCUUAAGUCUGAUGUGAAAGCCCCCGGCUCAACCGGGGAGGGUCAUUGGAAACUGGGGAACUUGAGUGCAGAAGAGGAGAGUGGAAUUCCACGUGUAGCGGUGAAAUGCGUAGAGAUGUGGAGGAACACCAGUGGCGAAGGCGACUCUCUGGUCUGUAACUGACGCUGAGGAGCGAAAGCGUGGGGAGCGAACAGGAUUAGAUACCCUGGUAGUCCACGCCGUAAACGAUGAGUGCUAAGUGUUAGGGGGUUUCCGCCCCUUAGUGCUGCAGCUAACGCAUUAAGCACUCCGCCUGGGGAGUACGGUCGCAAGA
RNAcentral lists this ribosomal RNA (853 nucleotides) under Bacillus subtilis. RNAcentral's name for it is "bacterial SSU rRNA". It matches the Rfam family "Bacterial small subunit ribosomal RNA", at positions 59 to 893 of the family's 1533-position model. The record is from RNAcentral. Lineage: Bacteria; Bacillati; Bacillota; Bacilli; Caryophanales; Bacillaceae.